AGAUUGUUCAUGAAUCUAAGAUCAAAAAAGAUUAAAAUAAUUUUAAAUCUAAUUAUUAUCAUGAUGAUCGCAUCAUCACCUUUGUAUGGAUAGUGAAUAUCGCUAUCCAAUGAUCGUGGAGUUGAGGUUCAGUGUCAAGCCACACAUGUGUCCGACCUCUGCAAGUAUCCACUUGAAAUCGGACUAGGAUGCUUUCUCCAACUUCAAUCCAUCUUCUCUAAAAUGAAUCAACCUAUGAUCAGAUCUCUGACAGAACCUCGAUUAACCCUUGAUCAUAAUCUUCUUCUUCCUUCAUGCA
Molecule: long non-coding RNA, 298 nt
Filed under: Elaeis guineensis (African oil palm)
Lineage: Eukaryota; Viridiplantae; Streptophyta; Magnoliopsida; Arecales; Arecaceae
Description: long non-coding RNA (EGUI_LNC022090)
Source: RNAcentral